ACUAACAACUCCAGCUAGAUUUACACAUGCAAGUAUCCGCACCCCUGUGAGAAUGCCCUACAGUCCCCUGCUUGGGAACAAGGAGCCGGUAUCAGGCACAAUUACUGAGGCCCAUGACACCUUGCUUAGCCACACCCUCAAGGGAAUUCAGCAGUGACAAACAUUAAGCCAUAAGUGAAAGCUUGACUUAGUUAAAGCUAAGAGGGUCGGUAAAACUCGUGCCAGCCACCGCGGUUAUACGAGAGACCCAAGUUGUUAGAUACCGGCGUAAAGAGUGGUUAAGAUAAAUUAUAGACUAAAGCCGAACGCCCUCAGAACUGUUAUACGUUUCCGAAGGUGAGAAGUCCGAUCACGAAAGUGGCUUUACAUUAACUGAACCCACGAAAGCUAGGGUACAAACUGGGAUUAGGUACCCCACUAUGCCUAGCCCUAAACAUCGGUAGCAUUCUACAGCUGCUACCCGCCUGGGUACUACGAGCAUCAGCUUAAAACCCAAAGGACUUGGCGGUGCUUUAGAUCCACCUAGAGGAGCCUGUUCUAGAACCGAUGCCCCCCGUUCAACCUCACCCUUUCUUGUUUUCCCCGCCUAUAUACCACCGUCGUCAGCUUACCCUGUGAAGGCUCAUAGUAAGCAAGAUUGGCACAGCCCAAAACGUCAGGUCGAGGUGUAGCGCAUGGAAGGGGAAGAAAUGGGCUACAUUCCCUCCCCUCAGGGAAUUACGGACGAUGUACUGAAAUACAUAUCUGAAGGAGGAUUUAGCAGUAAGCAAAAAAUAGAGUGUUUUGCUGAAAUUGGCCCUGAAGCGCGCACACACCGCCCGUCACUCUCCCCAAGCUCACACCCUAAAGUAAAUAAAACCCUAUACCUGCAAAGGGGAGGCA
This 882-nucleotide non-coding RNA is filed under the name Zanclus cornutus (moorish idol). Its description in RNAcentral is "partial 12S ribosomal RNA". It matches the Rfam family "Bacterial small subunit ribosomal RNA". The record is from RNAcentral. Lineage: Eukaryota; Metazoa; Chordata; Actinopteri; Acanthuriformes; Zanclidae.